This 89-nucleotide transfer RNA is filed under the name Trametes cinnabarina. RNAcentral's name for it is "Pycnoporus cinnabarinus tRNA". It matches the Rfam family "tRNA". Rfam says of the family: Transfer RNA (tRNA) molecules are approximately 80 nucleotides in length. Their secondary structure includes four short double-helical elements and three loops (D, anti-codon, and T loops). Further hydrogen bonds mediate the characteristic L-shaped molecular structure. tRNAs have two regions of fundamental functional importance: the anti-codon, which is responsible for specific mRNA codon recognition, and the 3' end, to which the tRNAs corresponding amino acid is attached (by aminoacyl-tRNA synthetases). tRNAs cope with the degeneracy of the genetic code in two manners: having more than one tRNA (with a specific anti-codon) for a particular amino acid; and 'wobble' base-pairing, i.e. permitting non-standard base-pairing at the 3rd anti-codon position. The record is from Rfam by way of RNAcentral. Lineage: Eukaryota; Fungi; Basidiomycota; Agaricomycetes; Polyporales; Polyporaceae.
CCUCCGAUAGCUCAGUUGGUAGAGCGCAAGACUGUAAUCGGGAGCAUCACGUCAUCUUGAGGCCGCUAGUUCGAUCCUGGCUCGGAGGA